This is an unclassified non-coding RNA of Macaca mulatta (Rhesus monkey), 148 nucleotides long. It matches the Rfam family "Metazoan signal recognition particle RNA". Rfam says of the family: The signal recognition particle (SRP) is a universally conserved ribonucleoprotein. It is involved in the co-translational targeting of proteins to membranes. The eukaryotic SRP consists of a 300-nucleotide 7S RNA and six proteins: SRPs 72, 68, 54, 19, 14, and 9. The record is from Ensembl. NCBI's taxonomy places the organism in Eukaryota, Metazoa, Chordata, Mammalia, Primates, Cercopithecidae.
GCUGGGCGUGGUAGUGCACGCCUGUAAUCCCAGCUACUCGGGAGGCUGAGGCAGGAGAAUCACUUGAACCCAGGAGGCGGAGGUUGCAGUGAGCCAAGAUUGUACCACUGCACUCCAGCCUGGGCGACACAGCGAGACUCUGUCUCAA